AAGAAGAGGAGGAGGAGAAUAAGGGAAAAAAGUAGUCCAAGCUUGAUUUCCAUUCUCUCCUCUUUAUUUUCUUCAAUAAAUGGUGACGAAGAGAUUGGGAAAGCUUACUGACCAUCCGACUCUGUAGCUUGUAUCAUGUGAGUGAAAAAACUUAUUUUUCAAAAAUAAGUAUUUAUUGAAUUUAUAUUAAAUCAAAAAAUUAAAUAUUUUAUAUAGCUAGUUUGACAAUAUAAUUUUUCAGAAUAAAGUGCUUUCAAUUCUUUUUAAAGUUAAAUUUUGCUCAGUUAAAUCAUUUCAUUAGAUGUUAUAGUUGUAUUAAAUAUUUCAGCGUAUCUAAAGUUGUUUUCAAAACUACCAUAAAGUACCCAUGUAAUUUUACUCGGUCUGCAUUGGUGUGAUUGUGUUUUCACAAUGUGUGACCCCAUAUGAUUAUUUUAUUCACUCUAUAUUGUAGUGAGUUUCCACAAUAUAUAAUCAGUUAUGGUUAUUUUACUCGCUCUGCACCAUUGUGAUUAUAUUUUCAUAGUGUAUGACUAGAUUAUUGCUUUUGAGCAACUCUGCACGCGUAUGACCAGAAUUUCAAAUUUUAGAAUUGAAUAACUUUAUCAUGUACAUUGAGAUUAAUCAAUGCAUGAUUAUGGUUAUUCUGAGUACCUUUUUAGUGUGAUUUUCAGUAAUAUAUACAACUCAUUAGAUUUUAAAUUAUAGAAAUUAGUUUAUUCAAUUUAAAUAAUAAAGAUUUUAGCUUAUAAUACUGUAAAAUGAUAUUUUUAUUAUAUAUUAGUUUUCAGAAUGUUGGCAUAAAUAGAAAAAAAAUAUAUUUAUUUGUUAGAUAUCCACUCCCUGAGUUAUAAGUUCAUAUAUUUUGACAACAUUUUUCUUAUCAAAUAGUAGUUGAGUUGAGCAGCAUUGUAUCCCAUUGAUCUAUCAAGUGGAGCCACAUAUUGUCAGUUGUUGUAUGUCUCAUCUUGUCAAUUUUUACAAUACAUAUUUUUGGAAUACGUGCAUUUUUGUUAAAAAAUAAAAAAUAAUAAAAAUGUAUCCAUAUCAUAUGCUCA
This is a long non-coding RNA of Olea europaea var. sylvestris, 1058 nucleotides long. RefSeq lists it as uncharacterized. The transcript has 2 exons. NCBI's taxonomy places the organism in Eukaryota, Viridiplantae, Streptophyta, Magnoliopsida, Lamiales, Oleaceae. The record is from RefSeq and is a predicted model, not a curated record.